Non-coding RNA from Microcebus murinus (gray mouse lemur), 1316 nucleotides. The record is from RefSeq and is a predicted model, not a curated record. NCBI's taxonomy places the organism in Eukaryota, Metazoa, Chordata, Mammalia, Primates, Cheirogaleidae.
GGCUGGUUUCCAUGGUGGCGCGGUUAGGAACCAUCAGCUGCCUCAUCUCAUGGCCAGGGUUGGUGUCCAUGUGGCAGACUAGCUAGGAACUCAAGGCCUGAACCUGGGGCCAGACCCUCUGCUCUCCCGGCCAUGGUCAAUGAUCCACCAGUACCUGCCUUACUGUGGGCUCAGGAAGUGGGCCAAGUCUUAGCAUGGCGUGCCCAGAGACUGCUACUGCAGUUUGGGGACCGACUGUGAUUCCUCCAGCACCUCACUCUGCUCCUUCCCUGUUGCAAAUGUCUCACUGGCUAAGGCUGGACGCGAUCGGGUGCUGAUGUAUGGACAGCCAUGUCGCAUUACCUUAGAGCUGGAGCUGCCAGAGUCCCCUGUGAAUCAAGAUUUGGGCAUGUUCUUGGUCACCGUUUCAUGCUACACCCAAGGCGGCCGAAUCAUCUCUACUUCUUCACGCUCGGUGAUGCUGCAUUACCGCUCAGACCUGCUCCAGAUGCUUGACACGCUGGUUUUCUCUAGCCUCUUGCUGUUUGGCUUUGCAGAGCAGAAGCAGCUUCUGGAGGUGGAGCUCUAUGCGGACUAUAGAGAGAACUCAUAUGUGCCGACCACCGGAGCGAUUAUCGAGAUCCACAGCAAGCGCAUCCAGAUGUACGGAGCCCACCUCCGCAUCCACGCUCACUUCACAGGGCUCAGAUACCUGCUGUACAACUUCCCAAUGACCUGCGCCUUCAUAGGUGUUGCCAGCAACUUCACCUUCCUCAGCGUCAUCGUGGUCUUCAACUACAUGCAGUGGGUGUGGGGAGGCAUCUGGCCCCAACAGCGCUUCUCUUUGCAGGUUAACAUCCGGAAAAGGGACAAUUCCCGAAAGGAAGGCCAGCGAAGGAUCUCUACCCAUCAGUCAGACACAGGGCCUGAAAGCCAGGAGGAAUCAACCCAGCUAUCAGAUAUAACAGAGGACGGUGAGAGCCCUGAAGAUCCCUCAGGGACAGAGGGUCAGCUGUCUGAGGAAGAGAAACCAGAUCAGCAGCCCCUGAGUGGGGAGGAGGAGCUGGAGCCUGAGGCCAGUGAUGGUUCAGGCUCCUGGGAAGAUGCAGCGCUGCUAACGGAGGCCAACCUGCCUACUCCUGCCUCUGGCUCUGCCUCUGCCCCUGCCCUUGCCCCAGAGACCCUGGGCAGCUCCGAACCCUGUGUGGGUACUGUCCGACAGCGCUCCACCUGCUCUAGUUCCUAAAGAAAAGGGCAGAUUCUUCACAUUCCAGCACUUUCCCACCUGACCCUUCGCCCCUUGAUUUUCCCCUCAAUAAACUAUUUUCGUGCCAGCU